UGGGGUAGAUGCUAAAUCCAAACUGAAACGUACAGGGCUGGAUGAUUGAAGCAGCAGCGGGAACUAGUCGGACCUCCGAGCUCUUUAAACUGUCCUCAGCCUUCCCCGUGGGAUCGGCUGGUUCUCCACGAGUUCCGAGCAGAAGAGGGGCCGGCGUUUAAGUCAAAGGCCUUGGGGCUCCGAGUCCGUUCGUCUCCCGUCCUGUGAAGGCGCGACCCAGUUCACAUGUCUGUAAAGUGAAGCCAUUAGUCCCUGCUUCGUGGUGAGAAAACUGGAAGGCGGAACGAGGAGGCCGCCGGUCCCAACCCGGCCCAGGAGCAUCUUUCUUCGCAGACCGUUUCCUGGCGAGAUCCUGCGCAGCCGAGGCUGUGUUAGCGCCAAGGACUUCCAGCAGCUGUUAGCAGAGCUUGAGCAGGAGGUGGAGCGACGGCGGCGGCUGGGGCAGGAGUCAGCAGCUAGGAAAGCCCUCAUCGCGAGUUCCUACCACCCGGCACGGCCUGAGGUCUACGACUCACUGCAGGAUGCAGCUCUGGCCCCCGAGUUUCUGGCCGUGGCUGAGUACAGCGUGUCCCCGGGCGCAGACCUCAAGGGCCUUCUCCAGCGGCUGGAGACAGUAUCGGAGGAGAAGCGCAUCUACCGGGUGCCUGUGUUCACAGCACCCUUCUGCCAGGCCUUGCUGGAAGAGCUGGAGCACUUCGAGCAGUCGGACAUGCCUAAGGGGAGGCCCAACACCAUGAACAACUAUGGGGUGCUGCUGCACGAGCUUGGGCUGGACGAGCCGCUGAUGACACCACUGCGGGAGCGCUUCCUGCAGCCACUGAUGGCCCUGCUGUACCCUGACUGUGGCGGGGGCCGGCUCGACAGCCACCGGGCCUUUGUGGUCAAAUACGCACCGGGCCAGGACCUCGAGCUGGGCUGCCACUAUGAUAAUGCCGAGCUCACACUCAAUGUGGCCUUGGGCAAGGUCUUCACGGGGGGCGCCCUGUAUUUUGGGGGCCUCU
RNAcentral lists this small RNA (1001 nucleotides) under Pongo abelii (Sumatran orangutan). Its description in RNAcentral is "processed transcript". Lineage: Eukaryota; Metazoa; Chordata; Mammalia; Primates; Hominidae. The record is from RNAcentral.